This 1262-nucleotide long non-coding RNA is filed under the name Lactuca sativa (garden lettuce). Its description in RNAcentral is "long non-coding RNA (LSAT_LNC000329)". The record is from RNAcentral. Lineage: Eukaryota; Viridiplantae; Streptophyta; Magnoliopsida; Asterales; Asteraceae.
CCGAAGGUAAAAGGAAUGGAUAAACUUCGACUCAUAUGGCUUGUUCUACUACUUGUUGAAUCAUACACAAAGGCACGUUUUAUAGCACCGAGUUACCAAAUGCGUUUUCGUGCAAUCAAUGUACUAUCAACUCAUAGUAACAACUCAUAUCUCUAGGUUUGAAGAAUAUAAGAUAUUAUCGUCUCAUGAUCACUCGUGAUAAAAUCCAUGAAGUGAUUCCAAUGAGCGCGGGUUGAAUCCAAUACUCAGAACUUAUGAGCACUCAUGAGUGUUGUAGCCCUUUGUCCAACACCUUAGACCUCUACAAGCCAACCCAUGACAGUCUUAAUUCAUAUCUACUUCCAACAUAUGACCGACUGUGGAUGGUUUGAAUAACUUAGUCAUUCCGGAAGAAUAACCCAGUUUAUUCGGGAAGUCAAAACAUGCAAAAUAAAACACAAUAAUAAUUGAAUCCAAUAUGGUAUCAACCCUUUGAACAUAAAUAAAACACCUUUUAUUUAUCACCAUAUGAUUACACAUUAUUCAUUGUAUACUGUUUCAGCUAUCAACUUUAUUCUUGAAUUUAAAACAAUAGUUGUCCCAUGCUCCAAGCAUGUACACUAUGUUUUCUUAAACACUAGUCAUGCCACACACCAAGUAUGCAUACUAUGUUUGUCUAUGAUCUUUACUUUGUGAACUAGAUCAAUUGAACAUAACUUCAAUGAUUCUCUUUUCACACUCCCAAAUCCUUACUGCAAAUGCAAGAAUUCCAAAUUCAUGCCAUUUACAGAAAUCUGUUAGAUUCUAAACUUAUAUGCAUUGAUCCUCUUGUAACGAUUAUGCACAAAGUCACAAAGACUUGGCAACAAUCAUUACAGAGUAUUCCAAAGGAGAUCAACUCCUUGGAAAUAUCCUUCUUGCAUUAAGUUUCCUUAAUCUUACACAGAUUGAAAAUUCUAACUUUGAAACAUUUCCAGAUUCCAUUUUGACUAUCACUUCUGAACAAGAGUUGCCUCCUUACAGAUUAUGUCAAUAUGGUCCUUCCAGAAUUGACUAUCACUUCUAACCAAGAGUUGCCUCCUUACAGACUAUGUCAAUAUGCCUCCUUACAGACAAUUGUUUAAUCCUUUUAGUCAUAUCCAGUUCUAAACCUUUUCCCUUCUUAAUGCCCCAGGCAUUUGGAAAAUUUUAGAAAGGAUGAAUAUAGCACAUGUAAUCGAUCCUAUAUCCGAAGCAUAUGGGACACGAUUCAUGAUGUCUCACAUAAAGACUAAACCAGUCUU